Odocoileus virginianus texanus is the source of this 448-nucleotide non-coding RNA. The record is from RefSeq and is a predicted model, not a curated record. NCBI's taxonomy places the organism in Eukaryota, Metazoa, Chordata, Mammalia, Artiodactyla, Cervidae.
CAGAGAAAGUGGAACCUUAUCACUUGGUCAAUGUACUCAGUGGCCUCCUAAUAUAGGAAGUGUUCAGCAGCUGUCACCUGACCCGGAAGAGAGGCUGCUCUCACGUCACCGCCCUGACAGAUGAGAGAACUUUUAGUAUGUCUCCACUGUACCACUGCCUUCCCACCAGUUAAGCUGCUUCCCAUGUGCAGGAACCAACUGGACCUACCAGAGCCACCUUGGAGCAGGAGCAUCUCGGAAACGAACCAUCAAUGGGGUGACCAUUAUACAGAGACGCUGGCUCUCUGGCUCCAUGAAGCUGCCCGCCAGUCCUAACUGCCUGAAGCUACUUCAAUCACCAAGGAAGGAAGACAUUUCCUCUUUGCUUAAGGCGCUGUGGCUUAGGUCUCUGUCACGUGUUGCCAAACAUAAUUCUAAUUAAUAGAACAUCAGGACCUGAUGGCUCGAA